CCUACGGGAGGCAGCAGUAGGGAAUAUUGGGCAAUGGAGGCAACUCUGACCCAGCCAUGCCGCGUGCAGGAUGAAGGCGUUAUGCGUUGUAAACUGCUUUUAUAUAGGAAGAAAGAGUUCUUGCGAGAACAGUUGACGGUACUAUAUGAAUAAGCACCGGCUAACUCCGUGCCAGCAGCCGCGGUAAUACGGAGGGUGCAAGCGUUGUCCGGAUUUAUUGGGUUUAAAGGGUGCGUAGGCGGUUUAUUAAGUCAGUGGUGAAAGACGGUCGCUCAACGAUUGCAGUGCCAUUGAUACUGGUAGACUUGAGUGAGAUUGAGGUAGCUGGAAUGGAUAGUGUAGCGGUGAAAUGCAUAGAUAUUAUCCAGAACACCAAUUGCGUAGGCAAGUUACUAAGUCUCAACUGACGCUGAGGCACGAAAGUGUGGGUAUCAAACAGGAUUAGAUACCCUGGUAGUCCCACACUAGUAACGUAUAGAUAACUAACUAGUUGGUUUACGUUAAUACAGUAGGUACGAGAGAAGUACGUUAAGUUAUACACCGUGGGAGGUACGCCGGCGACGGUAGAACGUACGAAGUAGAAGUUAGUACGGCGUAGAGACGUUACGGCCGACGGACGACGACGAGGGGAGGUAGG
This 637-nucleotide ribosomal RNA is filed under the name uncultured bacterium. Its description in RNAcentral is "bacterial SSU rRNA". The stretch from base 1 to 542 matches the Rfam family "Bacterial small subunit ribosomal RNA", at positions 338 to 873 of the family's 1533-position model. The record is from RNAcentral.